Molecule: ribosomal RNA, 446 nt
Filed under: uncultured bacterium
Lineage: Bacteria
Description: bacterial SSU rRNA
Rfam family: Bacterial small subunit ribosomal RNA
Source: RNAcentral
CCAGACUCCUACGGGAGGCAGCAGUGGGGAAUAUUGGGCAAUGGACGCAAGUCUGACCCAGCAACGCCGCGUGAAGGAAGAAGGCUUUCGGGUUGUAAACUUCUUUUAAGGGGGAAGAGCAGAAGACGGUACCCCUUGAAUAAGCCACGGCUAACUACGUGCCAGCAGCCGCGGUAAUACGUAGGUGGCAAGCGUUGUCCGGAUUUACUGGGUGUAAAGGGCGUGCAGCCGGGCCGACAAGUCAGAUGUGAAAUCCGCGGGCUUAACCCGCGAACUGCAUUUGAAACUAUUGGUCUUGAGUACCGGAGAGGUCAUCGGAAUUCCUUGUGUAGCGGUGAAAUGCGUAGAUAUAAGGAAGAACACCAGUGGCGAAGGCGGAUGACUGGACGGCAACUGACGGUGAGGCGCGAAAGCGUGGGGAGCAAACAGGAUUAGAUACCCCAGUA